This 613-nucleotide ribosomal RNA is filed under the name Enophrys diceraus (antlered sculpin). Its description in RNAcentral is "partial small subunit ribosomal RNA". It matches the Rfam family "Bacterial large subunit ribosomal RNA", at positions 1796 to 2616 of the family's 2925-position model. The record is from RNAcentral. Lineage: Eukaryota; Metazoa; Chordata; Actinopteri; Perciformes; Cottidae.
UCGCCUGUUUAUCAAAAACAUCGCCUCUUGCAAAACUCAAAAAUAAGAGGUCCCGCCUGCCCUGUGACUAUUUGUUUAACGGCCGCGGUAUUUUGACCGUGCGAAGGUAGCGCAAUCACUUGUCUCUUAAAUGGAGACCCGUAUGAAUGGCAUAACGAGGGCUUAACUGUCUCCUCUUUCAAGUCAAUGAAAUUGAUCUCCCCGUGCAGAAGCGGGGAUACAAACAUAAGACGAGAAGACCCUAUGGAGCUUUAGACACUAAGGCAGCCCACGUUAAAGACCCUAAAUAAAGGAUUAAACCAAGUGAGCCCUGCCCUAAUGUCUUUGGUUGGGGCGACCGCGGGGAAUUAAAGAACCCCCACGUGGAAUGGGAACACCCUUCCUACAACUAAGAACUACAGUUCUAGUAAACAGAAUUUCUGACCAGCAAGAUCCGGCAAUGCCGAUCAACGGACCGAGUUACCCUAGGGAUAACAGCGCAAUCCUCUUUUAGAGCCCAUAUCGACAAGGGGGUUUACGACCUCGAUGUUGGAUCAGGACAUCCUAAUGGUGCAGCCGCUAUUAAGGGUUCGUUUGUUCAACGAUUAAAGUCCUACGUGAUCUGAGUUCAGAC